GCCUUCGUGGUGUAGUGGUCAGCACGCUGGGCGCGUAUUCCAGAGGUCCGUGGUUCAAGUCCUGGUGAGGGCA
Molecule: transfer RNA, 73 nt
Filed under: Stegodyphus mimosarum
Lineage: Eukaryota; Metazoa; Arthropoda; Arachnida; Araneae; Eresidae
Rfam family: tRNA
About the family: Transfer RNA (tRNA) molecules are approximately 80 nucleotides in length. Their secondary structure includes four short double-helical elements and three loops (D, anti-codon, and T loops). Further hydrogen bonds mediate the characteristic L-shaped molecular structure. tRNAs have two regions of fundamental functional importance: the anti-codon, which is responsible for specific mRNA codon recognition, and the 3' end, to which the tRNAs corresponding amino acid is attached (by aminoacyl-tRNA synthetases). tRNAs cope with the degeneracy of the genetic code in two manners: having more than one tRNA (with a specific anti-codon) for a particular amino acid; and 'wobble' base-pairing, i.e. permitting non-standard base-pairing at the 3rd anti-codon position.
Source: Rfam by way of RNAcentral